RNAcentral lists this ribosomal RNA (495 nucleotides) under uncultured bacterium. RNAcentral's name for it is "partial 16S ribosomal RNA". It matches the Rfam family "Bacterial small subunit ribosomal RNA", at positions 28 to 507 of the family's 1533-position model. The record is from RNAcentral.
GACGAACGCUGGCGGCGUGCCUAAUACAUGCAAGUAGAACGCUGAAGGAGGAGCUUGCUUCUCUGGAUGAGUUGCGAACGGGUGAGUAACGCGUAGGUAACCUGCCUGGUAGCGGGGGAUAACUAUUGGAAACGAUAGCUAAUACCGCAUAAGAGUAGAUGUUGCAUGACAUUUGCUUAAAAGGUGCAAUUGCAUCACUACCAGAUGGACCUGCGUUGUAUUAGCUAGUUGGUGGGGUAACGGCUCACCAAGGCGACGAUACAUAGCCGACCUGAGAGGGUGAGCGGCCGCACUGGGACUGUGACCGGGCCCAGACUCCCACGGGAGGCAGCAGUAGGGCAUCGUCGGCAAUGGACGGAAGUCUGACCGAGCAGCGCCGAGUGAGUGAAGAAGGUUUUCGGAUCGUAAAGCUCGGUUGUAAGAGAAGAACGAGUGUGAGAGUGGAAAGUUCACACUGUGACGGUAUCUUACCAGAAAGGGACGGCUAACUACGUG